This 2357-nucleotide ribosomal RNA is filed under the name Escherichia coli O157:H7 str. EC4486. Its description in RNAcentral is "bacterial LSU rRNA". It matches the Rfam family "Bacterial large subunit ribosomal RNA", at positions 587 to 2925 of the family's 2925-position model. Lineage: Bacteria; Pseudomonadati; Pseudomonadota; Gammaproteobacteria; Enterobacterales; Enterobacteriaceae. The record is from RNAcentral.
AUCUGUGUGACUGCGUACCUUUUGUAUAAUGGGUCAGCGACUUAUAUUCUGUAGCAAGGUUAACCGAAUAGGGGAGCCGAAGGGAAACCGAGUCUUAACUGGGCGUUAAGUUGCAGGGUAUAGACCCGAAACCCGGUGAUCUAGCCAUGGGCAGGUUGAAGGUUGGGUAACACUAACUGGAGGACCGAACCGACUAAUGUUGAAAAAUUAGCGGAUGACUUGUGGCUGGGGGUGAAAGGCCAAUCAAACCGGGAGAUAGCUGGUUCUCCCCGAAAGCUAUUUAGGUAGCGCCUCGUGAAUUCAUCUCCGGGGGUAGAGCACUGUUUCGGCAAGGGGGUCAUCCCGACUUACCAACCCGAUGCAAACUGCGAAUACCGGAGAAUGUUAUCACGGGAGACACACGGCGGGUGCUAACGUCCGUCGUGAAGAGGGAAACAACCCAGACCGCCAGCUAAGGUCCCAAAGUCAUGGUUAAGUGGGAAACGAUGUGGGAAGGCCCAGACAGCCAGGAUGUUGGCUUAGAAGCAGCCAUCAUUUAAAGAAAGCGUAAUAGCUCACUGGUCGAGUCGGCCUGCGCGGAAGAUGUAACGGGGCUAAACCAUGCACCGAAGCUGCGGCAGCGACACUGUGUGUUGUUGGGUAGGGGAGCGUUCUGUAAGCCUGUGAAGGUGUGCUGUGAGGCAUGCUGGAGGUAUCAGAAGUGCGAAUGCUGACAUAAGUAACGAUAAAGCGGGUGAAAAGCCCGCUCGCCGGAAGACCAAGGGUUCCUGUCCAACGUUAAUCGGGGCAGGGUGAGUCGACCCCUAAGGCGAGGCCGAAAGGCGUAGUCGAUGGGAAACAGGUUAAUAUUCCUGUACUUGGUGUUACUGCGAAGGGGGGACGGAGAAGGCUAUGUUGGCCGGGCGACGGUUGUCCCGGUUUAAGCGUGUAGGCUGGUUUUCCAGGCAAAUCCGGAAAAUCAAGGCUGAGGCGUGAUGACGAGGCACUACGGUGCUGAAGCAACAAAUGCCCUGCUUCCAGGAAAAGCCUCUAAGCAUCAGGUAACAUCAAAUCGUACCCCAAACCGACACAGGUGGUCAGGUAGAGAAUACCAAGGCGCUUGAGAGAACUCGGGUGAAGGAACUAGGCAAAAUGGUGCCGUAACUUCGGGAGAAGGCACGCUGAUAUGUAGGUGAAGUCCCUCGCGGAUGGAGCUGAAAUCAGUCGAAGAUACCAGCUGGCUGCAACUGUUUAUUAAAAACACAGCACUGUGCAAACACGAAAGUGGACGUAUACGGUGUGACGCCUGCCCGGUGCCGGAAGGUUAAUUGAUGGGGUCAGCGCAAGCGAAGCUCUUGAUCGAAGCCCCGGUAAACGGCGGCCGUAACUAUAACGGUCCUAAGGUAGCGAAAUUCCUUGUCGGGUAAGUUCCGACCUGCACGAAUGGCGUAAUGAUGGCCAGGCUGUCUCCACCCGAGACUCAGUGAAAUUGAACUCGCUGUGAAGAUGCAGUGUACCCGCGGCAAGACGGAAAGACCCCGUGAACCUUUACUAUAGCUUGACACUGAACAUUGAGCCUUGAUGUGUAGGAUAGGUGGGAGGCUUUGAAGUGUGGACGCCAGUCUGCAUGGAGCCGACCUUGAAAUACCACCCUUUAAUGUUUGAUGUUCUAACGUGGACCCGUGAUCCGGGUUGCGGACAGUGUCUGGUGGGUAGUUUGACUGGGGCGGUCUCCUCCUAAAGAGUAACGGAGGAGCACGAAGGUUGGCUAAUCCUGGUCGGACAUCAGGAGGUUAGUGCAAUGGCAUAAGCCAGCUUGACUGCGAGCGUGACGGCGCGAGCAGGUGCGAAAGCAGGUCAUAGUGAUCCGGUGGUUCUGAAUGGAAGGGCCAUCGCUCAACGGAUAAAAGGUACUCCGGGGAUAACAGGCUGAUACCGCCCAAGAGUUCAUAUCGACGGCGGUGUUUGGCACCUCGAUGUCGGCUCAUCACAUCCUGGGGCUGAAGUAGGUCCCAAGGGUAUGGCUGUUCGCCAUUUAAAGUGGUACGCGAGCUGGGUUUAGAACGUCGUGAGACAGUUCGGUCCCUAUCUGCCGUGGGCGCUGGAGAACUGAGGGGGGCUGCUCCUAGUACGAGAGGACCGGAGUGGACGCAUCACUGGUGUUCGGGUUGUCAUGCCAAUGGCACUGCCCGGUAGCUAAAUGCGGAAGAGAUAAGUGCUGAAAGCAUCUAAGCACGAAACUUGCCCCGAGAUGAGUUCUCCCUGACCCUUUAAGGGUCCUGAAGGAACGUUGAAGACGACGACGUUGAUAGGCCGGGUGUGUAAGCGCAGCGAUGCGUUGAGCUAACCGGUACUAAUGAACCGUGAGGCUUAACCUU